Molecule: ribosomal RNA, 468 nt
Filed under: uncultured bacterium
Lineage: Bacteria
Description: partial 16S ribosomal RNA
Rfam family: Bacterial small subunit ribosomal RNA
Source: RNAcentral
GACGAACGCUGGCGGCGUGCUUAACACAUGCAAGUCGAACGGAAAGGCCCUGCUUUUGUGGGGUGCUCGAGUGGCGAACGGGUGAGUAACACGUGAGUAACCUGCCCUUGACUUUGGGAUAACUUCAGGAAACUGGGGCUAAUACCGGAUAGGAGCUCCUGCUGCAUGGUGGGGGUUGGAAAGUUUCGGCGGUUGGGGAUGGACUCGCGGCUUAUCAGCUUGUUGGUGGGGUAGUGGCUUACCAAGGCUUUGACGGGUAGCCGGCCUGAGAGGGUGACCGGCCACAUUGGGACUGAGAUACGGCCCAGACUCCUACGGGAGGCAGCAGGGGGGAAUAUUGCACAAUGGGCGGAAGCCUGAUGCAGCAACGCCGGGUGCGGGAUGACGGCCUUCGGGUUGUAACCCGCUUUCGCCUGUGACGAAGCGUGAGUGACGGUAAUGGGUAAAGAAGCACCGGCUAACUACGUG